This 381-nucleotide RNase P RNA is filed under the name uncultured Roseiarcus sp. RNAcentral's name for it is "Bacterial RNase P class A". It matches the Rfam family "Bacterial RNase P class A". Rfam says of the family: Ribonuclease P (RNase P) is a ubiquitous endoribonuclease, found in archaea, bacteria and eukarya as well as chloroplasts and mitochondria. Its best characterised activity is the generation of mature 5'-ends of tRNAs by cleaving the 5'-leader elements of precursor-tRNAs. The record is from RNAcentral. Lineage: Bacteria; Pseudomonadati; Pseudomonadota; Alphaproteobacteria; Hyphomicrobiales; Roseiarcaceae.
AGUCGGCCGGACGGCCGCCGCGCGAGCGGAGGAAAGUCCGGGCUCCAUACGGAAACGGCGCCGGAUAACGUCCGGCGGGGGCGACCCCAGGGAAAGCGCCACAGAAAGCAAACCGCCUCGAUCGCCGCAAGGCCGGGGUAAGGGUGAAAGGGUGCGGCAAGAGCGCACCGCGUCGGCGGCAACGUCGACGGCAUGGCAAGCCCCGCCGGGAGCAAAACCGAAUAGGAGCGACGCGCGGCUUUCGGGCCGCGGGGCCCUUCCGUAGGCCCUGUCGCUCGGGUUGGUUGCUUGAGGCGCCCGGCGACGGGCGUCCCAGAGGAAUGGCCGUCACGUCGGAGCGCGAGCUCCGGCCAUACAGAACCCGGCUUACAGGCCGGCUGG